UUUCCUUUUAUGGAUGGAGGCUGGGUUUAAGACCAAAAAAUAAAAAAAAAAUUCCUAUGUUGCCUGGCAUCACCUGGGCCUUGCCACGGCUGGGUGCACCUCAGUGGGACCGAGUGCCUUCAUUGCCCGAGGCUCCAUCCCCUGCACCUCAGGCGCACCUUUGAUAAAAGUGAUUGUUAUUAUCUAUAGUUAUAUAUUUAAUUUUUUUUGCAAUAAUUUGUUUAAUUCAAUUUGUUUUAUCUAUAGUUAUAUAUUUAAUAUUUUUGUAAUAAUUUCUAAAGUUAUAUAUUCAAGUCCAUUGUCAUUUCAUGAUUAUGUCACAAAUUUCAUUAUCUUUUCCUUUUUAUAUUUGAAUGUGUUGUAAUUUAUUUUUUUUAUGAGUCAAAAACUUGUAAACAUGUUUUUUUUUCUUUUUGAUACGGUUGAUUUUGAGUGUUAAUUUGGACUUUAUUUAUUAUUGGAAAUCUUUCAUGAUAUAUAUAGCCCUAUAAUUGUUAUAUUUAGGCGUUUCCCCAUGUUUCCGUUUUCCAUAUUUUUAAAAUGCCAUUUUUUUGGGGCAUUUCCCACCAUGCUGCAUAGACUAAAACUAAUUCAGCAUUAUAAACUACACAAAUUAUCUGAUUUCUAUCAAAAUAAAUAGCAAUGAAUUUAAAAUACCAAACAGACUAAGUUCUAAUAAAACUAACAGAUCCUAUUAAGUACCUUAACAUCCUCAUUGGAGACACCAUAAUCUAGAUUAGAAAUGUAAAGCUUGGUUCCAGUCUCUAUAGCAGAGGCCCGACCUGCUUGCCCCGAGUA
This 798-nucleotide unclassified non-coding RNA is filed under the name Hevea brasiliensis (rubber tree). The record is from RNAcentral. Lineage: Eukaryota; Viridiplantae; Streptophyta; Magnoliopsida; Malpighiales; Euphorbiaceae.